RNAcentral lists this non-coding RNA (21 nucleotides) under Caenorhabditis elegans. Lineage: Eukaryota; Metazoa; Nematoda; Chromadorea; Rhabditida; Rhabditidae. The record is from RNAcentral.
UAUCACAAUUUUACGAAUGAU